AGUGGCUUGGUUAAGGUAAAAUAACCGUAUCCGUAGCAAAAGCGAGUCUUAAAAGGGCAAAAAUUGUCAUUGUUUAUGGACCCGAACCUGGGUGAUCUAUCUAUGACCAGGAUGAAAAUUGGUUAAAACUAAGUUGAGGUCCGAACCAACUGAUGUUGAAAAAUCAGUGGAUGAGUUGUGGUUAAGGGUGAAAUGUCACUCGAACCCAGAGCUAGCUGGUUCUCCCCGAAAUGCGUUGAGGCGCAGCAGUUGACUGUAUAUCUAGGGGUAAAGCACUGUUUCAAUUGGGGCCACAUAAUAGUGGUGCCACAUCGAGACAAACUCUGAAUACUAGAUAUUUAUACAAAAGAUUAAAGGUCAACUAGUGAGACAGUGAGGGAUAAGCUUCAUUGUCAAAAGGGAAACAGCCCAGAUCACCAGAUAAGGCCCCUAAAUGACCGCUCAGUGAUAAAGGAAGUAUAACAGCCCAAAUUCUUAAGCACCAAGGUAUUGUCCGCUUUGGCCUGAAAGUCCUCACGGUUUUACCCACAGAAAAUAACUUCCCAGCAGGUCACCCAUCCUGGGAAUGCUCCCACUUGAGCACGCUUAACUUUGGAAUUCUUAUCAGGAACUCCACAGUUAUCUAAAAAGGCGCCUCGAUAUUUAAGAGUUUCACUUAUUACUACUUAAGUGGGUCAUCACAAUCUCCACAACUUAAGUAACUGACGUCCUCAUCAGUAUCUACACACAUAUCCAAAAACUAUCCACUGGGUAGAUAGGACUAGAGGUGACCCCUACAAGCGCAAGAGGUACCCACAACCAUGUAGCAUCUUAACCAUCAUUGGUUCAAGAGGCUGCUCACAUGAAGUGGUACUUUGCCCUGUAUGGCACUUAGCUUCUAUCUAACACCCUAUGGUUUGCUCUGAUACCAUUUGUAACAGCCCAAAUUCUUAAGCACCAAGGUAUUGUCUACUUUGGCCUGAAAGGCCUCACGAUUUUGCCCACAGAAGAUAACUUCCCAGCAGGUCACCCAUCCUGGGAAUGCUUUCACCUGAGCACGCUUAACUUUGGAGUUCUUAUCAGGAACUCUACUGUUAUCUGAAAAGGCGCCUCGAUAUUUAAGAGUUUCACUUAUUACUACUUAAGUGGGUCAUCAUAGGAAGUGGGAGUGCAUAGACAACCAGUAAGUUUGCCUAAAAGCAGCAACCUUUUAAAGAGUGUGUAAUAGCUCACAGAUCAAGCGCUCUCGCACCAAAGAUGAAGGGGGCUAAGCGAUCUGUCGAAGCUGUGAGAUUUUUUAAAGUUUUAUAUCUUAUUAUAUCUAAAAUGUAAUAUAAAAAUUAUCGGUAGAGGAGCAUUCCGCCUUAAAGAGAAAUACCUUGCUUAAGCAGGUGGUAGACGAAGCGGAAGUGAGAAUAUCGGCUUGAAUAAUGAAAACAUUGGUGAGAAUCCAAUGCCCCAAAAACCUAAGGGUUCCUCCAUAAAGGUCGUCUAGGGAGGGUUAGUCAGGGCCUAAGAUCAUGUCAAAAGGCGCAAUCGAUGGCUAACAGGUAAAUAUUCAUGUAUUAUUUUUUUUGUUAUUAAGGGAUGGAGGAGGCUAGGUUAUCCAAAAAUUAUUGUUAUUGGUUUAAAGGGUAAGGAUAAAUUCAUUAAAUAUGGGUCAUAAGGGAUAGAGUAAAUAUCUCAAACUAAUACCUGAAUAAUAAGUGCUAUUUUGUUCUUAAGGCUUAAGUAACUAAUGUCAUACUCCCAUGAAAAGCUCUAAAUAUAUUAAACAAGAAAGGAACCUGUACCCAAAACCAACACAGGUAGGUAGGUUGAGAAUACCUAGGGGCGCGAGACAACUCUCUCUAAGGAACUCGGCAAAAUAGCCCCGUAACUUCGGGAUAAGGGGUGCCUCUUAAAUAUAAAAAGUCACAGCGGCCAGGCCAGAGCGACUGUUUACCAAAAACACAGGUCUCCGCAAAGUCGUAAAGACCAUGUAUGGGGGCUGACGCCUGCCCAGUGCCGGAAGGUUAAAGAAGUUAGUGGUCGUGAUUUAUAACAGGGUAGCUGACAACCUAAGCCCCAGUGAACGGCGGACGUAACUAUAACGGUCAUAAGGUAGCGAAAUUCCUUGUCGGGUAAGUUACGACCCGCACGAAUGGCGUAACAAUCUGGGCGCUGUCUCGGAGAGGGACUCGGUGAAAUAGACCUGUCUGUUAAGAUGCGGACUACCUGUACCUGGACAGAAAGACCCUAUGAAGCUUUACUGUACCCUAGGAUUGGUUAUAAGCUAUUCUUGCGCAGAUUAGGUGGAAGGCGACAAAAAUACUUCUUAUGGGAAGGAUCGAGCCAUUAUUGAGAUACCACUCUAGAAGAGCUAAAUUCCUAACCUUGUGUCAUAAAUUAUGGCCGAGGGACAUUCUCAGGUAGACAGUUUAUAUGGGGCAUAGGCCUCCUAAAAAGUAACGGAGGCGCGCAACGGUUUCUUUGAGCCAGGCGGAAAUUGGCUUUAUACAUGUAAGGGCAUAAAGAAGCUUGACUGCAAGACCCACUUGUCAAGCAGGGACGAAAGUCGGCCUUAGUGAUCCGACGGUGCCGAGUGGUAGGGCUGUCGCUCAAUGGAUAAAAGUUACUCUAGGGAUAACAGGCUGAUCUUCCCCAAGAGUUCACAUCGACAGGAAGGUUUGGCACCUCGAUGUCGGCUCGUCGCCACCUGGGGCUGUAGUAGGUUCCAAGGGUUGGGUUGUUCGUUCAUUAAAGCAGUACGUGAGCUGGGUUCAGAACGUCGUGAGACAGUUCGGUCCAUAUCCGGUAUAGGCGUUAGAGCAUCGAGAGGACUUUUCCCUGGUACGAGAGGACCGGGAAGGACGCACCUCUGGUGUACCAGUUAUUGUGCCAUCAGUAAACGCUGGGUAGUCAAGUGCGGAGUGAAUAACUGCUGAAAGCAUCUAAGUAGGAAGCCCACCACAGGAUGAUUGCUCUCUUAUUUUAUCUGUUGCUUACUUUACUUUAUUAACUUAAUUGAUAAUUUAAUAAUUGAUUAUUUAAGCCCAAUAUAAGGUCGCGGCGAGAUUAGCCGUUUUUAUUAUUAGUAGUUAUAUUAAUAUUAAUAAUAGGUGUUAGGUGUAAGUGCAAUGAUGUAUGUAGCUGAAGCAUCCUAAAAAAUAAAGUAAAAAAA
RNAcentral lists this ribosomal RNA (3142 nucleotides) under Gastrodia elata f. glauca. RNAcentral's name for it is "bacterial LSU rRNA". It matches the Rfam family "Bacterial large subunit ribosomal RNA", at positions 636 to 2925 of the family's 2925-position model. Lineage: Eukaryota; Viridiplantae; Streptophyta; Magnoliopsida; Asparagales; Orchidaceae. The record is from RNAcentral.